Molecule: ribosomal RNA, 253 nt
Filed under: uncultured bacterium
Lineage: Bacteria
Description: partial 16S ribosomal RNA
Rfam family: Bacterial small subunit ribosomal RNA
Source: RNAcentral
UACGAAGGGUGCAAGCGUUACUCGGAAUUACUGGGCGUAAAGCGUGCGUAGGUGGUUUGUUAAGUCUGAUGUGAAAGCCCUGGGCUCAACCUGGGAAUUGCAUUGGAUACUGGCAGGCUAGAGUGCGGUAGAGGGUAGUGGAAUUCCCGGUGUAGCAGUGAAAUGCGUAGAGAUCGGGAGGAACAUCUGUGGCGAAGGCGACUACCUGGACCAGCACUGACACUGAGGCACGAAAGCGUGGGGGAGCAAACAG